Molecule: ribosomal RNA, 269 nt
Filed under: uncultured prokaryote
Description: partial 16S ribosomal RNA
Rfam family: Bacterial small subunit ribosomal RNA
Source: RNAcentral
UACGGAGGAUCCAAGCGUUAUCCGGAUUUAUUGGGUUUAAAGGGUGCGCAGGCGGAAGAUUAAGUCGGCGGUGAAAUUUUGCAGCUCAACUGUAAAAGUGCCAUCGAUACUGGUUUUCUUGAGUGUGGAUGAAGUAGGCGGAAUUUGUGGUGUAGCGGUGAAAUGCGUAGAUAUCACGAGGAACUCCGAUUGCGCAGGCAGCUUACUAAACCACUACUGACGCUCAGGCACGAAGGCGUGGGGAUCAAACAGGAUUAGAUACCCCGGUA